GAUGAACGCUGGCGGCGUGCUUAACACAUGCAAGUCGAACGAUGAAGCCCAGCUUGCUGGGUGGAUUAGUGGCGAACGGGUGAGUAACACGUGAGUAACCUGCCCUUGACUCUGGGAUAAGCCUGGGAAACUGGGUCUAAUACUGGAUAUGACUUCUCAUCGCAUGGUGGGGGGUGGAAAGAUUUAUUGGUCUUGGAUGGACUCGCGGCCUAUCAGCUUGUUGGUGAGGUAAUGGCUCACCAAGGCGACGACGGGUAGCCGGCCUGAGAGGGUGACCGGCCACACUGGGACUGAGAAACGGCCCAGACUCCUACGGGAGGCAGCAGUGGGGAAUAUUGCACAAUGGGCGCAAGCCUGAUGCAGCGACGCCGCGUGAGGGAUGACGGCCUUCGGGUUGUAAACCUCUUUCAGUAGGGAAGAAGCGAGAGUGACGGUACCUGCAGAAGAAGCGCCGGCUAACUACGUG
Molecule: ribosomal RNA, 466 nt
Filed under: uncultured bacterium
Lineage: Bacteria
Description: partial 16S ribosomal RNA
Rfam family: Bacterial small subunit ribosomal RNA
Source: RNAcentral